UGAAGUAGGCCGGAUGAUGCAGUUUUAUGUACUACUUCAGAAACCUAUACUGCUCGGGUCAUGGAGCUGCAUUCUAUCCAGCUAAUUGAUGGUGGCUCCCGUUGUCGGUCUUUCAAAGAAGCCGCACCAAUUGGCUCUUGAUGAUGACAGUAAUCCUUCCAAUGUCAAGAUCUGGUAUCCUUCUAGACUUUACACUUUUGUGCAUUGAAUCUGCGUCUGUAAGGCUGUCCAAUCGAUGACUGAAAUCCAGAAAUAGCGAAACCUUUUACAGUAUAAUUGGUG
RNAcentral lists this long non-coding RNA (282 nucleotides) under Agrilus planipennis (emerald ash borer). Its description in RNAcentral is "uncharacterized LOC108743410, transcript variant X2". Lineage: Eukaryota; Metazoa; Arthropoda; Insecta; Coleoptera; Buprestidae. The record is from RNAcentral.